Molecule: ribosomal RNA, 324 nt
Filed under: uncultured eukaryote
Lineage: Eukaryota
Description: partial 18S ribosomal RNA
Rfam family: Eukaryotic small subunit ribosomal RNA
Source: RNAcentral
CCCUUAGAUGUCCUGGGCCGCACGCGCGUUACACUGAUGCAUUCAACGAGCUUAUAACCUUGGCCGAGAGGCCUGGGCAAUCUUGUUAACGUGCAUCGUGAUAGGGAUAGAUUAUUGAAAUUAUUAAUCUUGAACGAGGAAUUCCUAGUAAACGCAGAUCAUCAAUCUGCAUUGAUUACGUCCCUGCCCUUUGUACACACCGCCCGUCGCACCUACCGAUUGAGUGAUCCGGUGAAUACUUCGGACUGCAACCGGUGCGGUUUCCGUACCCUUUGCAAAAAGUUGAAUAAACCUUAUCACUUAGAGGAAGGAGAAGUCGUAACA